ACGUUGGGGUACGCUCGCGCUGCCUAGCCUCUGCGACGUAGGUGGGAGGGAAGAGAGUAGUAAGAGAAAGGAGUCAGUAAAAGAAAGAUAACGAGCGAAAAUGAAAAUUCCAAUUGAAGAGUGAAUGGUAUUGAGAUGUGCACUGAUGUUUUCCUUUAACAGCUAACAUCCAUUGAGCUUCUAUCCUUACCAACCACCUUGCUAGAAACUAUGAAGAAGACUACCUCAUAAUCUAACAGGCAGAAAAAGAAAUUAACAGUUGCAUUACAGUGCAAAUAACAAGAAGACAUUUGCUCGUAUUAACAAAAGGUGCAUGAGUUUCAUGCUCAGCUGGCAAUGAAAAGCAUGAAGUGGCCAAGGAGUUCCUUAGUCCUGCUUGUUUCUGCUCUCCAUGGUCUGUUCCUUCCCUCUAGUGGAGUUCUCCAAUUCAAACUUGAAGAAGAGACAGCUGAAAAGAAAAGCAAAUAUGUUCAAUCUAUAUUCUUAUUUAACUUACUUAAUACAAAAAAUAAGUUUUCGUUUAUAGA
Molecule: non-coding RNA, 527 nt
Organism: Microcebus murinus (gray mouse lemur)
Lineage: Eukaryota; Metazoa; Chordata; Mammalia; Primates; Cheirogaleidae
Source: RefSeq, a predicted model, not a curated record